AAAUUAAAAGAAACUCUCUGUUUUCCCAAAACAAAACUCCCAGCUCUGCCCUAGUUUCUAAACAUCCACACAUAUGUCGUCUGCCUAGAUCUCUAUUCACAACUCAAGAUCUGUGUUUUCUCAAAGUAAAGGUUGUGAAUUUGUUGGUUUGUGAAUCGCAGGUCUACCUAGUUUUCAACCUCGCUCGUUUGCGAAUCCCAGGUUAUGGCACCUAGUAAGCAAUGGAUGCAACUUGUUGAUACUCGACUCGAUGAAGCCUACUCAAUGGUGUUAACCUUGUGUCUUAGUAGUUGAAGUAAAAUCAACAUAUGAAAACAAAAAUGUUUUUUUCUAGAAAAGAUAGCACCUCCAAACUGGAUAAAUUUGAGAGUGUUGAUAUGAUUGAUCAUCAUGAUAUUAUAUUGGGAUGGAUGAAAGAGUUAUGGAACAAAUGGAGAGGACACUUGCAUGCUAAAUAUGUGAAGGAUAAGCUAAUCUAUCAGGCUCUUAAGAAUAUUCUAAAGGGAGUAGACAAGAAAGAAUGAGAGUGGUUAGUAAAGGAACAUUUUUCUUCAGAAAGUUUUCAGGCGAGAAGCAUCAGGAAUGCAGCAAACCGAUCUAAGUUGAAAAUGCUUCAUCAUAUUGGUAGCAAACCUAUUCGCGAGAUAAUUUAUCAAAAGGACGGAAAAGACUGCAAUCCACCAGAUUUGGCAAUAAUUAUCUUUGAGAUUGGUAAGAAAAAUAACAAGCUUGUUGAACCUAAAGCAACUGAAUAAUAUGUAUAUUCGGAAAAUUAAAUAAGUAAAUUAAUUAAAAUGAUAUGGAUUCUGGUAUAAAAUAUUUCUUCGUAUGUUUUGUAAGGUCAGAUUGAAGAAAUAGUUCAAUCGGAUCCGUCUCUACCUAGCAUAGAGAUAGUAGAAAAAUAUUGUGGACCUCAAACUUGUAGCCAUGUAUUGGCUUUGGGGGUGGAGUAACGGCGAAUGACAUGAAAGGUGGCACUUUUUCAAAGGUUGAAUUACUGUCCGCGCUGCGUUCAACUAGAGAGGAAAAUAAAUCUUUGAGUGAGGAAAACAAAUCCAUACAUGAUCACUUGUCUACCAUAGAAGAUGAGAUGAAAGAAAUGAAGAAAAUAAAGGAAUUCUUUGCUGCUCAACAAUCACAUGUCUCGCCUACGACAUCGCUCGUUUCAACUGAAUGAUCACUUUUUUUGUCUACUGAUCAAGUUUUGAAGAUUGAAGCUACAACUCAAGAUACAUGUUUAAAAGAAACACAAGCUCAUUAUUAUUUUUCUAGGAAUGUUAUGUAAAACAUGAUAUCAUAGUCUAGCUCAGGAUGUUAGCUAUCAUUUUUUGCUAAGGUGUUGAGAAAAUAUUGAAACUAAAAUCAUGGGAUAUCAACAUUGUAAUUAAUAACUUUUUAUAUAGCAAUUUGAUAUUU
Molecule: non-coding RNA, 1416 nt
Organism: Nicotiana tabacum (common tobacco)
Lineage: Eukaryota; Viridiplantae; Streptophyta; Magnoliopsida; Solanales; Solanaceae
Source: RefSeq, a predicted model, not a curated record